This 683-nucleotide ribosomal RNA is filed under the name uncultured Actinomycetales bacterium. Its description in RNAcentral is "bacterial SSU rRNA". It matches the Rfam family "Bacterial small subunit ribosomal RNA", at positions 65 to 761 of the family's 1533-position model. The record is from RNAcentral. Lineage: Bacteria; Bacillati; Actinomycetota; Actinomycetes; Actinomycetales.
AACGGAAAGGCCCUGCUUGCAGGGUACUCGAGUGGCGAACGGGUGAGUAACACGUGGGUGAUCUGCCCUGCACUUCGGGAUAAGCUUGGGAAACUGGGUCUAAUACCGGAUAGGAACCAUCUUUAGUGUGGUGGUUGGAAAGUUUUUUCGGUGUAGGAUGAGCUCGCGGCCUAUCAGCUUGUUGGUGGGGUAAUGGCCUACCAAGGCGGCGACGGGUAGCCGGCCUGAGAGGGUGUACGGCCACAUUGGGACUGAGAUACGGCCCAGACUCCUACGGGAGGCAGCAGUGGGGAAUAUUGCACAAUGGGCGCAAGCCUGAUGCAGCGACGCCGCGUGGGGGAUGAAGGCCUUCGGGUUGUAAACUCCUUUCGCUAGGGACGAAGCUUUUUGUGACGGUACCUAGAUAAGAAGCACCGGCCAACUACGUGCCAGCAGCCGCGGUAAUACGUAGGGUGCGAGCGUUGUCCGGAAUUACUGGGCGUAAAGGGCUCGUAGGUGGUUUGUCGCGUCGUCUGUGAAAUUCUGGGGCUUAACUCCGGGCGUGCAGGCGAUACGGGCAUAACUUGAGUGCUGUAGGGGUAACUGGAAUUCCUGGUGUAGCGGUGAAAUGCGCAGAUAUCAGGAGGAACACCGAUGGCGAAGGCAGGUUACUGGGCAGUUACUGACGCUGAGGAGCGAAAGCA